Molecule: ribosomal RNA, 253 nt
Filed under: uncultured bacterium
Lineage: Bacteria
Description: partial 16S ribosomal RNA
Rfam family: Bacterial small subunit ribosomal RNA
Source: RNAcentral
UACGUAGGGCGCAAGCGUUAAUCGGAAUUACUGGGCGUAAAGCGUGCGCAGGCGGUGAUGUAAGACAGUUGUGAAAUCCCCGGGCUCAACCUGGGAACUGCAUCUGUGACUGCAUCGCUGGAGUACGGUAGAGGGGGAUGGAAUUCCGCGUGUAGCAGUGAAAUGCGUAGAUAUGCGGAGGAACACCGAUGGCGAAGGCAAUCCCCUGGACCUGUACUGACGCUCAUGCACGAAAGCGUGGGGAGCAAACAGG